UACGUAGGGACCAAGCGUUGUCCGGAAUCAUUGGGCGUAAAGAGCGUGUAGGCGGCUUGUUAAGUCUUGCGUGAAAUCUCGGGGCUCAACCCCGAGCGGUCGUGAGAAACUGGCAGGCUAGAGUGCGGGAGAGGAGAGUGGAAUUCCUGGUGUAGCGGUGAAAUGCGCAGAUAUCAUUUGGAACGCCAAUGGUGAAAACAGCUCGCUGGGAAUGAUCUGACGCUGAGACGCGAAAGCCAGGGGAGCGAACGGG
Molecule: ribosomal RNA, 253 nt
Filed under: uncultured bacterium
Lineage: Bacteria
Description: partial 16S ribosomal RNA
Rfam family: Bacterial small subunit ribosomal RNA
Source: RNAcentral